CUACGGAGGGUGCAAGCGUUAUUCGGAAUCACUGGGCGUAAAGGACGCGUAGGCGGGUUGGCAAGUCAGAUGUGAAAUCCUACAGCUUAACUGUAGAACUGCACUUGAAACUGCUAACCUAGAGUAUGGGAGGGGGAGAUGGAAUUAGUGGUGUAGGGGUAAAAUCCGUAGAUAUCACUAGGAAUACCGAAAGCGAAGGCGAUCUCCUGGAACAUAACUGACGCUAAGGCGUGAAAGCGUGGGGAGCGAACAGGAUUAGAAACCCUAGUAGUCC
RNAcentral lists this ribosomal RNA (274 nucleotides) under uncultured bacterium. RNAcentral describes it as "partial 16S ribosomal RNA". It matches the Rfam family "Bacterial small subunit ribosomal RNA", at positions 523 to 796 of the family's 1533-position model. The record is from RNAcentral.